Molecule: ribosomal RNA, 429 nt
Filed under: Gemmatimonadota bacterium
Lineage: Bacteria; Pseudomonadati; Gemmatimonadota
Description: Gemmatimonadetes bacterium partial 16S ribosomal RNA
Rfam family: Bacterial small subunit ribosomal RNA
Source: RNAcentral
UAGGGAAUCUUCGGCAAUGGACGAAAGUCUGACCGAGCAACGCCGCGUGAGUGAAGAAGGCUUUCGGAUCGUAAAACUCUGUUGUUAGAGAAGAACAAGGACGUUAGUAACUGAACGUCCCCUGACGGUAUCUAACCAGAAAGCCACGGCUAACUACGUGCCAGCAGCCGCGGUAAUACGUAGGUGGCAAGCGUUGUCCGGAUUUAUUGGGCGUAAAGCGAGCGCAGGCGGUUUCUUAAGUCUGAUGUGAAAGCCCCCGGCUCAACCGGGGAGGGUCAUUGGAAACUGGGAGACUUGAGUGCAGAAGAGGGGAGUGGAAUUCCAUGUGUAGCGGUGAAAUGCGUAGAUAUAUGGAGGAACACCAGUGGCGAAGGCGGCUCUCUGGUCUGUAACUGACGCUGAGGCUCGAAAGCGUGGGGAGCAAACAGG